GAUGAACGCUGGCGGCGUGCCUAAUACAUGCAAGUCGAGCGAACAGACGAGGAGCUUGCUCCUCUGACGUUAGCGGCGGACGGGUGAGUAACACGUGGAUAACCUACCUAUAAGACUGGGAUAACUUCGGGAAACCGGAGCUAAUACCGGAUAAUAUAUUGAACCGCAUGGUUCAAUAGUGAAAGACGGUUUUGCUGUCACUUAUAGAUGGAUCCGCGCCGCAUUAGCUAGUUGGUAAGGUAACGGCUUACCAAGGCAACGAUGCGUAGCCGACCUGAGAGGGUGAUCGGCCAAACUGGAACUGAGACACGGUCCAGAUUCCUACGGGAGGCAGCAGUAGGGAAUCUUCCGCAAUGGGCGAAAGCCUGACGGAGCAACGCCGCGUGAGUGAUGAAGGUCUUCGGAUCGUAAAACUCUGUUAUUAGGGAAGAACAAAUGUGUAAGUAACUAUGCACGUCUUGACGGUACCUAAUCAGAAAGCCACGGCUAACUACGUG
Molecule: ribosomal RNA, 497 nt
Filed under: uncultured bacterium
Lineage: Bacteria
Description: partial 16S ribosomal RNA
Rfam family: Bacterial small subunit ribosomal RNA
Source: RNAcentral